This 85-nucleotide transfer RNA is filed under the name Fibrobacter sp. RNAcentral describes it as "tRNA-Ser". It matches the Rfam family "tRNA". Rfam says of the family: Transfer RNA (tRNA) molecules are approximately 80 nucleotides in length. Their secondary structure includes four short double-helical elements and three loops (D, anti-codon, and T loops). The record is from RNAcentral. RNAcentral also lists the same sequence under 1 other name. Lineage: Bacteria; Pseudomonadati; Fibrobacterota; Fibrobacteria; Fibrobacterales; Fibrobacteraceae.
GGAGGGAUGGCCGAGUGGUUUAAGGCGCACGCUUGGAAAGCGUGUUUACUUUACUGUAACGAGGGUUCGAAUCCCUCUCCCUCUU